This is a non-coding RNA of Callithrix jacchus (white-tufted-ear marmoset), 1828 nucleotides long. The record is from the annotation of a RefSeq genome assembly. Lineage: Eukaryota; Metazoa; Chordata; Mammalia; Primates; Cebidae.
GACAUGCACUGAUGGUAUGUAAAUACUUCGUGAAAUUCUAAUAAAUGGAGUUGUAAAUAAAACCCACAAUUAUCCGUAACUCAGAUUCCUUGGAAGUUAUUUUGGGAUCAUGAGUUCACAAAGAACUUUAAACUCCUAUUUCAACUUCUGGCUCCCAGUGUCUGUGAUAGAAGAAAGUCAUCUCCAAUUAUGAUAACAGGGCCAGGUUGUUUUUAUUGAAGAGCCUGAGCAAUGAAGAUUCCAGGCAGGUGAUGGAGACACUGUCUCAGGAGUGCAGAGCAGAUCUCAGAGGAACCUGGAGGACACGAGGAACCUGGGGGACACUCAUGUGGAACAUCAGCAGUCAGUUUCUCAGAGUUGCCAGUGAGCUGUGCUGGUUCCUGUGGGAACCACGAUGGGGCCAAGGCACCUGCUCAGCAUCAUGGACAUUGAUGGCCCAGAAAUGAUCUAGGUGGCCUUUAUGCUAAUCACAUAUGGGUUCAGAGUGAGGGGCAUCAUCUGUGGGGACUUGUUCUUCAGUGAAACGUUGCUCUGUGCAAAUAGAAAUGGAGCAGGACGUGGAUUUUCUUAAGCAGGAUACAGGCUUGGACCAUCAGCAUCCCACUCCUGUGUGGUGGAUGUGUCGUGUAUCUUCUUUCUCACUCUCAGUCAGGCUUUGAGCUAUAAAAUAAUCUGUCUCAUGAAUAUGCAAAUAAUGUGAGGUCUACUGAAGUACAUAUGGGUAUGUCUGGGCCCCGAGAGCAUCACCAGCAACCACAUCCCUCCUCUAGAGCAGCCCCUGAGUGUAAAUCUCUUCACCAUGGACUGGACCUGGAGAAUCUUCUGCUUGCUGGCAGCAGCUGCAGGUGCCCACUCCCAGGUGCAGCUGGUGCAGUCUGGGGCUGAGGUGAAGAAGCCUGGGGCCUCCGUGAAGGUCUCCUGCAAGGCUUCCGGAUACACCUUCACCGACUACUACAUGCAGUGGGUGCGACAGGCCCCUGGACAAGGGCUUGAGUGGAUGGGAUGGAUCAACCCUAGUAGUGGUAGCACAAACUAUGCACAGAAGUUCCAGGGAAGAGUCACCAUGACCAGGGACACGUCCACAAGCACAGCCUACAUGGAGCUGAGCAGCCUGAGAUCUGAGGACACGGCUGUGUAUUACUGUGCGAGAGACACAGUGUGAAAACCACAUCCUGAGAGUGUCAGAAACCCCAGGGAGGAGGCAGAUGUGCUGGGGCUGAGGCAGUGAAAGGGAUUAUUAGAUUGAAGACUUUCCUAGAAAGAGAGGUCCAUUCAUGAAGAAAGGGGACCAUAAAAUUUGUAUGCACUGUAAUUACUUGGGAAACUCUCCAUACAACACUUAUUCUGUAGGCAAAAUUCAGGGAGCAGAAAAUAAAUUAGAUUAAUAAAACAUAGAAGAAUUCCUCUGAAGACAUUAGUGUGAACAUCAGUUUUUGAAUUGGUAUUUUUAAUAUUUUGGAACAGAGCUGCUAGAUCACAUUUUAAUUCUACUUUUAUCUUCAUUGUAUGAAGUGUCCAAAUAUUUCAUCAUAUUUUGUGCAGUUCUGAUUUUGGAUUUACACCAGAAAUGCACGAGAGACCGAGUUCUUCCACAUCCUCAUUGCCACUUGGCAUCAUGAGAACUGUGGAUUUAAACCACUCUAAUAAAAUAGUACUGAUAUCUCCUUCUUGUUUAAAUGCACCUGUCCCGAAUUAACAUUUUAUAUUUAAAUAUGUUUAGGCAAUUUGGAUGAAGUGUCUGUUUUGAUAUUUGGCUCAUUUUGUUGCAUUGUUUUCUUUUGAUCAGUUAUAAGUUUCCUUACCUACUAAUUAUAAAAGUCAUUUACCA